Molecule: ribosomal RNA, 252 nt
Filed under: uncultured bacterium
Lineage: Bacteria
Description: partial 16S ribosomal RNA
Rfam family: Bacterial small subunit ribosomal RNA
Source: RNAcentral
UACGUAGGGGGCAAGCGUUGUCCGGAAUUAUUGGGCGUAAAGCGCGCGCAGGCGGUUUCUUAAGUCUGGUGUCUAAGUGCGGGGCUCAACCCCGUGACGCACUGGAAACUGGGAGACUUGAGUGCAGAAGAGGAGAGCGGAAUUCCACGUGUAGCGGUGAAAUGCGUAGAGAUGUGGAGGAACACCAGUGGCGAAGGCGGCUCUCUGGACUGUAACUGACGCUGAGGCGCGAAAGCGUGGGGAGCAAACAGG